UACGAAGUAGCUUCAAAAUUGGGAAAGCGAUGGGAAUGCGCAUGAGAAAAACAAGACCCAUAGAUCGCAGGUUCGAAUCCUGUCUUCGUAG
RNAcentral lists this transfer RNA (91 nucleotides) under Limosilactobacillus reuteri. Its description in RNAcentral is "tRNA-OTHER". It matches the Rfam family "tRNA". From Rfam's summary of the family: Transfer RNA (tRNA) molecules are approximately 80 nucleotides in length. Their secondary structure includes four short double-helical elements and three loops (D, anti-codon, and T loops). The record is from RNAcentral. Lineage: Bacteria; Bacillati; Bacillota; Bacilli; Lactobacillales; Lactobacillaceae.